GACGAACGCUGGCGGCGUGCCUAAUACAUGCAAGUCGUGCGGACCUUUUAAAAUCUUGCUUUUAAAAGGUUAGCGGCGGACGGGUGAGUAACACGUGUGCAAUCUGCCUGUAAGACUGGGAUAACGCCGGGAAACCGGGGCUAAUACCAGAUCAUCUUUUCCUCCGCAUGGAGGAAAAAGGAAAGGCGGCGUCUGCUGCCACAUACACAGUGUCCCGCGGCGUAUUAGCUAGUUGGCGUGGCAACGGCGCACCAAGGCAACGAUGCGGAGCCGACCGGAGAGGGUGAUCGGCCACAUUGGGACGGAGACACGGCCCAUAGUCCUAGGGGAGGCGGCAGUAGGGAAACUGCGGCCAGGGACGAAAGUCUGUCCGAGCAAGGCCGAGUGAGGGAAGAAGGCCGUCGGGUCGUAAAACUCUGUUGGCGGGGAAGAAAGCGGGUCGGUCGGAGAGGGAGGGCGAUUGACGGUAACGGGCAAGAAAGCACCGGCUAACUACGUG
RNAcentral lists this ribosomal RNA (499 nucleotides) under uncultured bacterium. Its description in RNAcentral is "partial 16S ribosomal RNA". It matches the Rfam family "Bacterial small subunit ribosomal RNA", at positions 28 to 507 of the family's 1533-position model. The record is from RNAcentral.